This 324-nucleotide RNase P RNA is filed under the name bovine gut metagenome. Its description in RNAcentral is "Bacterial RNase P class B". It matches the Rfam family "Bacterial RNase P class B". From Rfam's summary of the family: Ribonuclease P (RNase P) is a ubiquitous endoribonuclease, found in archaea, bacteria and eukarya as well as chloroplasts and mitochondria. Its best characterised activity is the generation of mature 5'-ends of tRNAs by cleaving the 5'-leader elements of precursor-tRNAs. The record is from RNAcentral.
AGGGCAAUCGCUGCAGACAGCUCUGUAGAGGAAAGUCCAUGCUCACACUGCCUGAGAUGGCAGUAGUGUUUGUGCUGAAUGAAUAAAUAAGUUCAGGCGUAGACGGCGAUACCGACUCCUAAGGGAAACUAUGGACUAGGUAUCCUAAGGUGCCACAGUGACGUAGCUUAUCAGGAAACUGGUAAGGUGGAACGAGGUAAACCCCACAAGUGAGAAACCCAAAUUUGGUAGGGGAACCCGAUGCUUCGAAAUGAAGAGGCUAGGGACGCCGCAAGGCGUAGAUAAAUGGUUGCCCCUGGUAACAGGACAGAACAUGGCUUACAU